CAGUAGCGCGGUAAUACGGAGGGUGCAAGCGUUAAUCGGAAUUACUGGGCGUAAAGCGUGCGUAGGCGGUUUGUUAAGUCUGCUGUGAAAUCCCCGGGCUCAACCUGGGAAUGGCAGUGGAUACUGGCAAGCUAGAGUGUGUCAGAGGAUGAUGGAAUUCCCGGUGUAGCGGUGAAAUGCGUAGAGAUCGGGAGGAACAUCAGUGGCGAAGGCGGCCAUCUGGGACAACACUGACGCUGAGGCACGAAAGCGUGGGGAGCAAACAGGAUUAGAUACCCCUGUAGUCCCUGUCUCUUAUACA
Molecule: ribosomal RNA, 301 nt
Filed under: uncultured bacterium
Lineage: Bacteria
Description: partial 16S ribosomal RNA
Rfam family: Bacterial small subunit ribosomal RNA
Source: RNAcentral